UACAGAGGUCCCAAGCGUUGUUCGGAUUCAUUGGGCGUAAAGGGUGCGUAGGUGGCGCGCUAAGUCAGGUGUGAAAUUUCGGAGCUUAACUCCGAAACUGCAUUUGAUACUGGCGUGCUUGAGGACUGGAGAGGAGACUGGAAUUCACGGUGUAGCAGUGAAAUGCGUAGAGAUCGUGAGGAAGACCAGUGGCGAAGGCGGGUCUCUGGACAGUUCCUGACACUGAGGCACGAAGGCCAGGGGAGCAAACGAG
Molecule: ribosomal RNA, 253 nt
Filed under: uncultured bacterium
Lineage: Bacteria
Description: partial 16S ribosomal RNA
Rfam family: Bacterial small subunit ribosomal RNA
Source: RNAcentral